AACGCACCUUGCACCCCGUGGCUUACCACGGGGUACGCCCGUUCGAGUGUCACGUUCACCAUCGCCCCUGGGAAGGUCACUUCUCUUCGGCGGAUCUGGAUGCUGCCGUCGUUGGCUCGUCCGAAAUGCAUUAGCGAGGGUGGUCUCCCUUAACCGCUUGGCGUGAUAUUUACUUCUUGCGCCUGUCGGUCGGUAAAGUGGAGGCGGCUCUGCUUCGAAUCCCGUCGCGUCGACGGAACGUAACCCAAUGUUUUGACCUCGAAUCGGGUGGGACUACCCGCUGAACUUAA
RNAcentral lists this unclassified non-coding RNA (290 nucleotides) under uncultured fungus. RNAcentral describes it as "partial contains 5.8S ribosomal RNA, internal transcribed spacer 2, and large subunit ribosomal RNA". Lineage: Eukaryota; Fungi. The record is from RNAcentral.